This 1444-nucleotide small RNA is filed under the name Sinorhizobium meliloti 2011. RNAcentral describes it as "putative ncRNA". Lineage: Bacteria; Pseudomonadati; Pseudomonadota; Alphaproteobacteria; Hyphomicrobiales; Rhizobiaceae. The record is from RNAcentral.
GAUAUUAUAAUAUCCUUCUUUUCAUAUCCUCACCAGAAGCAGUUUACGCUGGCACGUUCGACGAGAAUGUCGGUACCCGCUCUUGAAGGUAUCCGAACUGACCCGCAGCACCCGCACCUUCAAUAGAAUAUGCGGAAAUAGCCGACCGGAGACUCACAGUCCCUUCCGGCGCUGAUACCGGGCGCGCAGCCAGAAGAUCAGGAAGAAGGCUAUCACGAAUAGGCAGCCGACGGCGGCCGCAAGCCAUGGGGAUAUGUCGCCGAGCCUCACCAUGAUCGAGGGCAGCGCAAAGAAGCCGAUCCCGACCACCAGCAGAAUGAUGGCUGCCGCGACGGCGGGCGAUUUCUCCUUCUCGGGCGUGCUCACCUUCGUUCCUCCUGCGCAAGCGUUGCGCGGAUAUCCUCGAGGCGCUGCUUCUGGCGUCCGUCGCGAUCGAAAUUGUCGGGCGAAAGCCACUGCUCGAAAGCGGUCUUGAUGAGCGGCCAUUCGCGAUCGAUCAUCGAGAACCAGGCCGUAUCGCGAUUGGCGCGUUUCGAAACCAUGUGCUGACGGAAAAUGCCUUCGAAGAUGAAGCCGAGGCGCGCCGCGGUGGUGCGGCUCGCCUGAUUUUCGCUGUGGCACUUCCAUUCAUAGCGCCUAUAGCCGAGGUCGUCGAACACAUGCCUGGCCAUGAGAUAGUGCGCUUCAGUCGAAAGCGGCGAUCGCGCCAUGGCGGACCCAUGCGCGACGCCGCCGACCUCGACGACGCCGUUGGCGGGAUCGGCGCGCAUGUAGUUUGCCAUGCCGACGACCUUGCCGCUCGCCUUCUCGCGAAAGACCUCGGUCACCCAGCCCGACUUCUGCUGAACCGCCGAAAGCCAGGUGUCGAAAUCCUCUAUGCCCGAAAAAUCCUCCUGGGAGAAAUAUUUGAGCAGAGGGUUGAUGGCCAUGCCGCCGAAGGCAUCGCUCCAGAGGGCGUUCAGAUGUUUCGCCCGAUCAUAGGGCUCGACAAGGACGUAUCGCCCCUCGAUGAGCACCGGUUUCGGCGCCGAGCAUCCUUUCCAGUGGGCAAGAUCACGCAUCAACUGCUCCCGCGUUUGCAUUCGCACUGGCCAUAGGACAGACGCAGGGCGGUGACAAAUUCAAACUCGUGAUGCGACCCAUGAGCGGAACGGAUCGACGCCCGCUCAUGAAUUCGUUCAAGCCGGAAUCUUUGCCGCAGAAACCGUCGCCUCGAUGUGGUCGACGAGCGCAUCGGCCAGGCCGAGCCGCCCGGCAAGCAGAUCGAGAUAGCCGCGCUCGGCCCGGCCGUCCGGCUCGAUCGCGAGACGGGAGGCCGUAUAGAUCUCCACCCGCUCCUCCUCCGUCUUCCCGGCGGAGAUGAUGGCGUCGAGAUCGAUCGGGUUGACGAGCUCCGCUUCCAGGAAGGCCGCCGCAUCCGCGGAAAGGCCCGAAACGGAUAGCU